Molecule: ribosomal RNA, 309 nt
Filed under: uncultured Pseudomonadota bacterium
Lineage: Bacteria; Pseudomonadati; Pseudomonadota
Description: bacterial SSU rRNA
Rfam family: Bacterial small subunit ribosomal RNA
Source: RNAcentral
AACGAACGCUGGCGGCAUGCCUAACACAUGCAAGUCGAGCGCCUGUAGCAAUACAGGAGCGGCGCACGGGUGAGUAACGCGUGGGAACCUGCCUAGAGGUUCGGGACAACCGCGGGAAACUGCGGCUGAUACCGGAUGAUGUCCAUGGCGCGAGUCAUGGACCAAAGAUUUAUCGCCUUUAGAGGGGCCCGCGUCGGAUUAGGUAGUUGGUGAGGUAACGGCUCACCAAGCCUGCGAUCCGUAGCUGGUCUGAGAGGAUGACCAGCCACACUGGGACUGAGACACGGCCCAGACUCCUACGGGAGGCUG